RNAcentral lists this ribosomal RNA (110 nucleotides) under Bacteroides fragilis. The record is from RNAcentral. Lineage: Bacteria; Pseudomonadati; Bacteroidota; Bacteroidia; Bacteroidales; Bacteroidaceae.
ACAGGUGACUAUAGCAUCAGGGUUCCACCUCUUCCCAUUCCGAACAGAGAAGUUAAGCCUGAUCACGCCGAUGGUACUGCGUAACAGUGGGAGAGUAGGUAGUCGCCGUU